CAGUAGCCGCGGGAAUACGUAGGUGGCAAGCGUUGUCCGGAAUUAUUGGGCGUAAAGGGUGCGUAGGCGGACUGAUAAGUCAGGGGUGAAAUCCCAAGGCUCAACCUUGGAACUGCCUUUGAUACUGUUAGUCUUGAGUUCGAGAGAGGUGAGUGGAACUGCGAGUGUAGAGGUGAAAUUCGUAGAUAUUCGCAAGAACACCAGUGGCGAAGGCGGCUCACUGGCUCGAAACUGACGCUGAGGCACGAAAGCGUGGGGAGCAAACAGGAUUAGAUACCCCCGUAGUCCCUGUCUCUUAUAC
Molecule: ribosomal RNA, 301 nt
Filed under: uncultured bacterium
Lineage: Bacteria
Description: partial 16S ribosomal RNA
Rfam family: Bacterial small subunit ribosomal RNA
Source: RNAcentral